This is an RNA transcript of Hypanus sabinus (Atlantic stingray), 11452 nucleotides long. It is a transcript of the gene named dedicator of cytokinesis protein 8-like, with no coding region annotated. The record is from RefSeq and is a predicted model, not a curated record. Lineage: Eukaryota; Metazoa; Chordata; Chondrichthyes; Myliobatiformes; Dasyatidae. The transcript is spliced from 47 exons.
GCACCUGGAACAGGAACAUUCAGAAACAUUCCGAAAAGGUCGCAAAUGGAACUGCUUCUUAAUUUUGCUUUCUUAAUGAGAGUAACCUGAAUGCCUGCCGGAAGUUUGGAAAGACUUGGAAGAAGUCAAAUCUGCCCAGUAUUUUGUGUUGUGAAGCUAUAAAACGACAGCGACCUCCAUUGACCAUUGAUUCGAUUAGGGCAGUGUUCACCUUUGAGCCAGGCAUGUGAGGUGUGCAGGAAUGAAAGUUGAAAGAAUCUGGUUCUACACGCUUUAGGCUGGUUGAACUCGUUUUGGUAAAUAGUUUAACCUUAACCGGACUCGCACAGACUGACGUUCUUAAAUCGCCCUCAAUCAGAACUGGCCUCGGACAGGAAAUCACCGUACCUGCCGGUAGUUGUCCGUCUCCUGCACCCAGGCACACCGCUCUCCAGUGACUCGUCCCCUCCCACCAACUCUCACUUCGCUACAUACUUCUCCCUCUCUCAUUAGAAACGCCUCUUCUGCAACGACAUUUCAUUCCUCACUGUUGGCCUUUUGCCACUCCUCUUUCACAAGUGGUUCCUCCUUUUGCCAGCGAUGCCCUCCUCUCUCGAUGUGGGUUCCGCGAAUCUUUGGAUAGAGAGAGGCAGCGACCGGCACCAUCCCCUCCACCGCCAGCAUGGCUUCGUACACUUACGGGGACAGACAACAAUAUUUGCAUCUGUUGAACAGGGAAGCGGGUGCUGGUGAAGCAAGGACGACUGUACCACAGUACAAAAGGAAUUCAUUGACCCACAUGCGGCAAUCCAUUUCCACACCAACAUACCACACCAACAUUCCAUUUAGCUUUGAACCUGUGGAGCCCCUGGAUUUUGAGGCGCACGUAGCAGAUCAGUUGGCAAAUCCCGAGGUGGAGUCACUUCAGCACCUGGUGGACUUCCCAAAGGACGACAUCGAAGUCACCCUGUCUUCUCGAGAGUAUCGGACAGUGACUCCUGCUGAGCCAGACAGCUGGGAAAACCUGACUCCACAGGUGAGAUCAUGUGUGGAGACCUACACCAAGAAAUGGCUGACAGUAACCAGGAGGUAUCAGAAGUGCAACAGGGAAAGUCGGAGCAAAGAGCUGAACCUCCCUCGUCAGAUCUUUGAAUGCGAUGAGAGCUUUAAUUUGGAAAUGCAAGGCACCCAGAGCUCAGCUGGAUCUCAGAACGAUGAGCUACAGCCCGAGACACCAGAACUCUUCAUUCAGCAACUGUUGCAACCUACGACAAAGGAGGAGGUUGAUCUGAGGAACAAGGACAUGCGUAAAUCUGACAGGCUGGUUGAUAUGUAUAUGGUCUAUCCCCCGCCUGAUGAGGAGGAAUCUGGGUACAGUCGAAUCACUCCACCGCCCCCAUGUGAUCAAUUGGAGCAGAGAUUGCAACUUCAUUUUCUGGAGUUAAAAUUUGAAAUCGAAAUUGAACCACUCUUUGUGACUUUAGCUUUCUAUGAUUUAAAGGAAAGGAGAAAGAUUUCAGAAAACUUUCACUUGGAUCUUAAUUCUAAAGAAUUUCGAGGUAUUAUCCAGGCAGAUGGUGAAGAUUCAUCUUACUUCAAAAAGGCCAUCUUCUCAGUUUCUCAUCACUCUGCUGAAAUCUACCUGGUCAUCAAGGUGGAGAAGGUUCUACAGCAGGGCAGCAUUGCUGAAUGUGCCGAGCCAUAUAUGAGUAUUAAAGAGUGCGAAACAGCCAAGAGUAAAGAAAAGAUUGGAAAACUUCGGUUCCAGGCAGCUUCCUUCUGCCAACGCCUGAAGUCCUAUCGGAUGCCUUUUGCUUGGGCGGCUAUUGAUUUCACCAGCCUGAUUUCCAACAGUGGAUCCCAGAAUUCACUGGACAAAGAAGCCAACAGUGGAGGCACUGGGACUGAAGCGCACUCGCACUCACUGGACAGCAAAUGCAACAUCCCCUUAUUACGACCUAGACAGUAUAUUCUCAACGUGUUCAAUAAACAGGAAGAAGAUAAACUAAGUGAUGAAGACCUGAUGAAGUUUAUUGCAGAUGAGAAAAAAACAUCUACUUUAUUGAGGCGACAGCGGAGAAUUCCAGGAGUUUUUCGAUUCACUGUGUCCCAUAUUAACGAAGCACCGGCCUUCUGCUUUAACCCCGACUUUUUGGAAGUAAGGCCAUCUAACGGGGAGAACAGAGAUCUGGCGUUGGAAGUUUUAGAAUUCCCUGUGUCAGGAAUUUCUGUUCCUCAUACAACAUACAGAAAUCUUCUCUAUGUCUACCCUCAGUUCCUCAAUUUCUCAAACCGACAGGGAUCAGCACGAAACAUCACCAUGAAAAUCCAGUUCCUGGAGAGUGAGGAGCCUGGUGCGGCCUUACAGGUCAUUUUUGGAAAAUCUGGAUAUCCUGAAUACACAACUGAAUCGUAUACACCUGUGGCCUAUCACAGCAAGAGUCCUUGCUUCCAUGAGGAAGUGAAGAUGAAGCUGCCUUCAAGUCUCACCAAGAAGCAUCAUUUACUCUUUACCUUCUAUCACGUGAACUGUCAGCCCAAGCAGAGCCAGGACACACCGGAGGUUCCAUUGGGUUACAGUUGGUUACCAAUCCUGGACAAGGGACAUUUGCGUUCUGGUUCGUUUGAGCUUCCUGUCUGUUUGGACAGACUUCCAUUCCAGUAUUCAGUAGCCUCUACCUCAAUGGCGGGGGUGAAGUGGUUGGAUAAUCGGAAAUCAGUAUUUAAAUUGGAGCUACGGCCAUUUUCGACAAUAUACCCUGAGGACAGAAGCCUGGAGCAGUUCUUCUCACUGUGCGACAAUGUGGGUAAACACCAUUCUGUAGCCCAGCAGACAGAGGCACUGAGAAGGGCGGUUACUGCGAUCAACCAGGUUCAUCUGGAAGAACUUGUCCCAUUCCUGCAUGUGGUGUUAGACAAACUGCUGCCACUACUGAUCUUGAGCUCCAGGAUGACAUCAGAAAGAGUUCCAGUCGGCAGACAUAUCUUUGAAACACUCAUCAAAAUUGUGGACUGGCUCCAGAAUACUGAGGAAAUGACGAAAGACUCUCUGGGACGAAACCAAUCCCUGGCUACGUACAUUCACUACUUGUUCAGCGUACCAGUUCUUCCUGAGGCUGAAGUCACAGAGUCUGAGAAGUAUGCCACGGUCAAGCCAGAGGGGAUAACUGCGUUUCACAAGACGCAUCGGCUUAGCUCAAGUGAUCCUGAGCUGCAGACAUCGAAGCUCACUGUGCCCACAGCGGGCAGUAGUCUGAAGUCUUCAAAGCUAUUUCAUGAGGAAUUGGUUUAUCAUAUUGUCUUUGCCAGUGGAAAGAUGAGAGAUCAUGUGUACAAGCAUCUGUGGUUUUUCUGCGAGCUUUUGAUUAAAAGUAUGAGUCAGUACCUUUCUGACACAGACCGCUGGAGCACUCCACCCAGCCUGCGGUUCUCGGAGUAUUUCCUGAGCAUCAUUUACCCCAUGGUCAACAUAGCUACAGAGUAUGUGAAGCAACAGGAUCCUGAUGUUACAGAUGUAACAAACCUGAGUCUUGGCUUUUUUCUGAAUGACCUGCUGUCCCUCAUGGACCGAGGCUUUGUCCUUCGUUUGAUUGGUCAUCAUCAUAAAGAGCUUUCAGAUAAAAGUAGCAAAUGGCCGCACCUCCAUGAAAGGCGCAUCGACUUCCUGAGGAUCGUCUGCAGCCAUGAGCAUUUUGUCAUCGUAAACUUCCCGCUUACAGCAAGCGUUGGGGCACAAGACGGCGACAAUCACAUGGAGAAUGUCAUCACACAUGAGACAACUGUUGGGAUCUUCAAACUUUCCAGAAAAUUCCGUCAGCAGCACUUUUUAAUUGGGCUCCUCCUAGAAGAGAUCAUCAGUGUACUGACAAGUGAUUCAGAGAGGUUGAUCAGACGAGAAGCAGUAAGCUUGCUUCAUUAUCUCCUGGCGUCACACGAUGGGGAUCAAAGAUUCGGGAACAUCAGGACGAAGGUGAAAGUGGCAGCCUUGUACCUACCGCUCCUGGACGUUAUCCUGAAUAGUGUCAGCCAACUGCAGAACAUGGCGGAUUCUGACAACUCAAGGAAUAAAUUGCUUAAGUCGUAUCCAAAUCUCAGGAAUUCCACCAGCGGCAUGAUAACAUCACCAGCUGUGCCCCCCUCAACGAACAGACACUCGUACCCCAUUUCAGGGCCCCUAGGUCCAAGUUCCAUCGCGUUGGAAAUGACCCAGACCCUCCUAUUUUGCUUUCUGUGGGUUCUGAAGAAUGCAGAUGAAACGGCCCUUGAAGAAUGGAUCCUGGGGCUUCCAGCCCAGCGGUUGUUCAGCCUUCUGCAGCUCCUUGACCUCUGUGUGUCCACCUUUGAGUAUGAGGGCCAGCCGUCCACGGAACAGAUCAGCAGCCUCAUCUAUAGGAAGUCCAGAGACAUGAAGUUACGGCUCGAGGAGAACAUUUUUGGAACCACAGGAGCCCGGCGGGAAAUGAUGAACCGCCGGGAAUAUACAGGAAUUGACAGGUGGUUCUCAGGGAUGGGCCUUCAUGAGAAGUUACGCUGGAGAAAGGACCUGACGCAAUGGCGCCAACCUAUUGGCAGAGAAAAGUUGAAGUUGGAACUGGAGCAGGAAGCCUUGAUCAAUGGGAACCUAACUGUGGAGACCAACCUGAUUGUGUUAGAUACCCUGGAGCUGUUGAUCCAGCUGAGCGGCCCAAUGCCCGAGUUCAAGUCUGUGGUCACAGGGGUCCUGAAGGUCUUGUUUCACAGCUUGUCCUGCAACCAGAGCAUCCUGUACCUAAAAAACUGUUUCAACACCCAGCGGGCCAUCAUCGCAAAGUUUCCGGAGGCCCUGUUUGAGGAGGACUCGGAGCAUCCCAUGGACCUGUGCUUGCUGCUGCUACAAAAAUGCACGAGUCAUUUCCAGAGUACACGGGUCCAGGCCUCGGCCUCCCUCUACCUGCUCAUGAGGCAGAGCUACAGCGCAUAUUUUCCACAAGCUAAAAUGUACAUUACCAUAAGCCUGGCAUCCUUGGCGGAGAAACUAUCCAACCAGGAUAAGCGAUGUCUCCAGACAUCCCUUGGUAUGAUCCAAACUUAUCUGGGAACAGACAGGGCCAUGGAGAGAACCAGUUUCCCUGGGCAGGUGAAAGAGCUUUUGCAGAAUUUGAAUGGAGUAUUGUGUGACAUAGUGAAGCUGCAGGAAUUCCCCCAUGAUGUGGACAUGCAGAUUGACCUCAUGUACAGGACUGCAAAAGGUUUGCAGAGUUACGUGGACCUUCGCCUGAUGUGGCUGCGGAACAUCGUGACGAAGCACAUUGCGAGGAAGUGCUUUGCCGAGGCUGCCCACUGUGUGGUGCACAGUGCUGCCCUGGUGGCUGAAUAUCUGAACCGCGUGGAUGGAUCUGUCCACCUGCCCAUGGGCAGUGUGAGCUUUCAGAAAAUUUCCGUCAAUGUCCUGGAGGAAUCUCUGGUGUUAGAAGAGGUCUUUUCCAUGGAGAGGGAGGGUAUUUGGACGGGAAACUUGUUCAGUGAAGAGGGUCUCUUGGAGUUGUUGGAUGAGGCGGCUAAACUCUUCAACAAGGCAGAACUCUACGAAGCCGUUUAUGAAAUUUACAAACUGAUUAUUCCAAUUGCUGAAUUCCGUCGGAAUAUUAAAAAACUAUCUGCUAUUCACGGAGCCCUGAAGGAGACGUUUGAUCUGAUCCUGCGUGAGGAUAAUAAGAGAAUGUUUGGGACAUAUUUUCGUGUUGGAUUCUACGGGUCACUGUUUGGAGAGCUGGACGAGCAGGAGUACGUCUACAAGGAACCGGGGAUCACUAAACUGGUGGAGAUCUCCUCGAGGUUAGAGGAAUUUUACAAGCAGAUGUUUGGAAAAGAUCGUGUGGAGAUUAUCAAGGAUUCUUCACCAGUUAAGAAGGAGAGCCUGGAGCCCAAUAAGGGCUACAUCCAGGUGACCUACGUGGAGCCAUUCUUCGAAGCGUAUGAGCUGAAAAACCGAGUCAGCAACUACGAGAGGAACUCUAACCUGAGGCAGUUUAUCUACAGCACCCCAUACACACUAAAUGGUCGGGCCCACGGGGAGCUUAGCCAGCAGUAUAAGCGUAAAACCAUCCUGACAACCUUGCACGCUUUUCCAUACAUCAAGACCAGGAUCAAUGUGAUAGAGAAACAGGAGAUUAGCCUGAGACCAAUUGAAGCCGUGAUUGAGGACAUGCAGAAGAAGACCUACGAGCUGGCAAAGGCAACAAGUGCAGACCCACCCAACCUGAAGCUGCUGCAAAUGGUGCUGCAGGGGUCCGUGGGCCCCACCGUCAAUCAGGGCCCAUUGGAAGUCGCUCAAGUGUUUUUGUCAGAAAUCCCUGAUGAUCCCAAGCUUUUCAGACACCACAACAAACUUCGCAUCUGCUUCAAGGACUUCCUGAAACGAUGUGAAGACGCUCUCGUCAAAAACAAGGGCCUGAUCUCGUCUGAACGAGUGGAAUAUCAGUGUGAACUUGAGAAGAACUAUGAAGCCCUCAGACACAAUCUACAACCAUUCAUUAACCGAAGGAUCCCUUGCCUUUAUGUCACACCUUGUCAGUAGGCAUCUCGAGAGGGGAACAUUUGGCAUUAACUCAUGAAGUUGUAGAGUCACACAGUGUUUCAAGCACGGGACAGGCCCUUUGGCACACAAUGUCCAUGCCAACGACUCUACUUGCCUGUAAAUGGUUUGCUACACACUUUGUAAAUGUGUGAGAAGCUGCUUUCGUCACCUACUGAGGCAACACACUCCAGAUUUCAUCCACUCUCUGUGAAAAAGUUUCCCUUUCAGAUCCCCUCUGAACCGCAUACCUUUGCCCCUGUUUCUCAGACACUGUUAGAACAAUAUUACUAAGAUGUGCAAACAAGACACACAAAAUGCUGGAGGAACUCAGCAGGCCAGGCAGCAUCUGUGAGGAAAAAAGGACAGAUUUUCUCUUGUUCAUCAUUAAGAUAAGUGAACACAUAAGUAUGGAUCAAAUCUACAUUUUUAAAGCACAGCAGUAAAAAUAAUUCCUGCAGAAGCCUAGCUGGUCAUGUACCAAUUUGAUGGGUCCACCUGCUGAUUAAGCGAAGCGCUCUAGGAGAUGGCGGCAUUCAAUGGUGUUACUCUGCCCCCUUGUGGAGAAGGCGGGAAGCGUCAGAAAAGUAAAUCCCACUCCAGAGGAUUGGAACGGUACAGAAUCCAGUUACUCUUUAUACCCAAACUCUAUUUAUUGGUAUAAUCCAGUCUCUGAAUGACUUUUGUCCAGAUGAAUGCCUAUUCCCUUGCCUGAAAGGGAGGUGGGAGAGGAUUCAAUAGCAAUUAACAAAGAGACCUGAAAGUAAACUUGAAAAUUAGGAGAAAAACUGGAUUGCUGGCACAGCUUUUCAAAUGACCAUCCACACUUUGUAGAUUGCAAUUGAAACAUUAGCAAAGAUUAAGGAGGGGAAAUCAUAAUUUUACAUUAAAAGGAUUUAUCAUAUUUGUUUAAAAUCAAAUCUGUUUACAAACUUGAGAAGAGUGUGCAGAUUCUCUGCACACACGCGCGCACACACACACACACACACACACACACACACGCACACACGCACGCGCGCGUACACAAUGCUGAAGGAUCUCAGCAAGUCAGGCAGCAGCAUGAUGUUGCCAGAUCUACCACUUAGUCAGGUUGUUAUUCUAGCCUUGUUCCUCGGCAUGGAUCCUGCUAACUCCAGCACAGUGUGAAAUUGUGCUUUGAGCCAUUCAAUGUGAUUUCUCCAUCAACCACUAGGAGGCAGAACCAAACAAGGGUCAGCUUUCCAUGUGGCUGGUACUUGGGCCUUGAUAUUUGUGUUUUUAAUUGAACUUCGUUAAUGUUAAUGCUUUUAAUUUCAGAUUGCAGGAACCAGGUUACUCUUAUAAAUCUUGCAACUUGCAACAUUCACCCUGCACUUCUGUAACUGAGUUUGUUUAGAGACCACCCACUCUCAUUUUGAAACAGUCACUUUUGUUAAUGUCCAAAACAGUAUCAUGCUCUUUGCUUUGGGCACUGUGGUCACUCAAGGUCUCAUGGUUCCUCAUUCACAGUAGAUUUGCUGUGUGGAAAGGACCACUCACCCGUCCACAGGUACUUCUCGAUAUUGGAAGCUGCCUCGAAACUUGAACUGCCAUCACACACUAUCUCUGAUACGUUGGGAGAGGUGCUCUGCAGUUGUUGCCUUUUUGGCACUGGGGCUUAUGUGGUUAUCCAAACUCGUUACUCUGCAGAGGAAAGGUAGUUAUCCUCGAGGGCCCCACUUCACUGGCCCCAGGCCAGCUGAGUGAAGUAACAAACUGAAGAAAUGUCCGACUGCCAUGACAUCUAGCUGUCGUCCGCAGUGAGACUUUACUGUAUGACUCAAGCUAUCACUCCAACUGUAGAAAACUUUACCUACCAAAACUUCGUUAAGUCGUUCAACUGGUUACAGUAAAAGUUUGAGCAGCUGGCAGGAAAUUGAAGCCAACAGACAAACAAGACUAAUCAUUCCUCAGGGAGGUCUAAAUGAAGGGAAAAGGUACUGGCAAAGGGAUUGUUUAAACAGCCAAAUAGUGGACAACAUUCUGGAAGAAAAUAAGCUCAGCAGGGCCUGGCACCAUGAGGAUCUCUCACCAGUUUGCAUCAAGAUAAAGUCUUCAUAUUGCCAAUGGACUAUCAUUCCUGUAAUGAUUGAAGCGGUUAGAAAUUAGGUUGGGAACUCAAUCUGACAGAUUCAGUAGUUGCCAAGGCUUUCUCCUUAUUGCAGGACAGGUGUCUGGAACAGUGGGCUGAGGUGUUGCUGUCUGGAGUAAGUACCAGGGUAUAAGUGUGUCAUUCUCAGAUUCUGGGUGUUGGGGGGGGGGGGGGUCAUAGAGAUAUACCACAUGGAAACAAUCCAUCAGAUAUCUACACUGAGUAUUUACACCAAUCCCAUUUAAUUCACCCCAUAAUCCCAUCAAUACCAUACACCUACACAUAAAGGCCACUUUACUAUGACCAAUUAAUUUACUAUCCUAUGUGUCUUUGGGAAGUAGGAAGAAGAUUAGGAGAGUAGGAGGAAGCCCACAUAGGCACUGGCAAACUCCACAGAGGCAGCAUCUGAGGUUAGCAUUGACCCUGGGUCUCUAGAAAUGGGAGGCAGUGGCUCUGUCCACCAUGAGACUCUGCUCACAUAAAUAAUGAACAUAUUACAUUUUAUUUUCUAUUAAGAUUCAAAGAUGAAGCCCAGUAACUUGCCCAUCCACCAGUCCAGUUGUUCAGCAAAAAACUGGAUCAUCUCCACAUCUUUGCCCGUCUACAUUAAUCCCAUUUUUCCACAUUAGAUCUUCAUCGCUUUACGACAUGUCUACUUAAGAACUCUUAUCCUAAAUAAAAUGAUUGUGUCCAACUCCACCACCUCCUUAGACAGUGAAUUCCAAUUAUCAGUCAGUUCAUGCAAAAGAUUUUAUCCUCCAAUCCCUUGAAAAACUCCUCCCUCUCACUUUAAACCCAUGCCCUUGCCUUUGAUUCCCCUACCAUGUGAAAUAGAUUUGACCAUCUAUCCCUCUGUUGGAUCUUAUUCAGUACUGUCGAUUGUAAUUUUCCUCCCUCAUCCAAUUCACAACUAUUUCUAUAACGCUACAAGUAUUACCUAUAGCAAAGGCUGAUGCUAAAUCCCCUUUUAAGUCAUUGUUCAUCUACUUUCCAUUUUAAAUUUCUCAAAUUGUCUUCUUUUCGAUCUAUAGAAACUGUUACUGUUAGAUUUUGUGUUUCUAGCUUCUACAUUGAAGUUUUCUGGUGCAUUCUGAUAUGUCCCUAAAAGUCUGCCAUUGCAUCCCAGCUGACUGAUCCCUUUAAUCUAAUUUUUCAGUUCACUUUAGUAAGCUUUCAUGGUCUCAGCUGCCCUUAUUUAAGUUUCAGGGAUCGGUUUUGGAGUUCCUCUCUCACCGAAUACAAAACUCUGCUCUAUUCUUUUCACAGCUACCCAGACACUCUCGCAAUUGGAUCAUUCACUAAUCCUGUCUCACUGCAGAAAACCCUGUCAAACAUAGCUUGCUCGUUUGUUCUCCUAAACUCAUUGUUCCAAUAUAUUUUUAAAAAUCAUGAACUCUUUCACCCCUGCUAUUUUUAUCCAUCUUCCUUUCCCCAGAGUACACAUAGUUUAAAAACAAACUGCUGUAGGAACUCAACAGGUCAAGCAGCAUUUGUGGAGGAAAAGAGGCUGCAUCAGACCAGUCCAGAUUUAAGGCCUCACCCAAAAUGUUAACUAUCCCUUUGCUGCUCAAACUGCCGAGUCCACAAACAAACUGCUGGAGGAACCUAGCAGGUCCCGCAGCAUCCAUGGAAAGGAAUAAACAGUUGAUGUUUCAGACCGAGAGUCAUCAUCGAGACUGCCCAGCUCCUCCAGCGUUUUGUGUGUGUUACUUCCAGUUUACAGGACUCGGGGGAUGAUAUUUCUGUUGACAGUCUAAAAUACAGCACUGAGGAAAUUUGGUCACAAUUUUACAGCCCCACUGUCCACUCCUGGCAAGAGAACAUUUGCUUGAGAUCUCAGAUGCUGCAGUUGUGGGCAUCUACAAGAAAGGACAAGAAGUCACCCUGUUGUCUGCCACAGGGAAGGUCGUCAGAGUCCUCCUCAACUGCAGCCUCUCGGUGGCUGAAGAGCUGCUCCCUCAAUCACCUUGUGGAUUCUGUCUAUCAGAGGCCGUUGAACACUACCUUUACAAGUUCUAGGAAAAUGCAGGGGGGGGGGGGUACCAGCCAAUAUAACUGGCCUGAUUUUAACCACUCUAAAGCCUCUCUCUCAGGAAAGGCUAUAGAACACCAUCUUCAACCAACUGAGAACUGCCUUUAUCAUGUCUGCUCCACAGUGACAAUAAUUAGUAGGUCUACAACAAAACCAAUCUCAGAGAGGAGUAGUGUCAGACAAACUUCUCAAUCUUUCUUUCAUUGUAUCUCCAAUAAACUUCCUGUGGGAGUGAAGUUAACCUUCAGAACCAGCAGUGACUAAAACAAUCAUCCCCAGCCUCCCAUUCUGGUAGUCAAGCUGCAGUGUGAAGAUAAUUAUUUCUUCUAAUCAUUUUUUUUGCAUGUAAUACUCAGCUUCUUCAUACCCACUUAGAAGCCAAAUUUCCAAACUAUUGUCAAUGUUUUCACUAAAGCCGAGGAGAGAAUGACCCAAAAACACACCAGCCACAGGACUGAAGUCCUCUAUAUCCUGUCCCCCCUGUACAAUAAAAGUGAGACCCUGGAAAAUGUGAACUGCUCCCCAUAUCUCAGGAACCGUGUCUCGGCGAAGGCUGGCAUGGAGGCAAAAUUCAUCAUUACCUUCAAUACACCAGCUCAGCUUUCAGUUAAUUGAGGAAAAUGAUAUGUCAAGAGGCUUGGCACUAAGCUGACAGUCCACUGGCAGCAGUGAUUCUUGCUCAGGGGACUUGGGCAACCCAGAGGGGUUAUCUCAAGGUUUAUGCUGGUACUGUUGUUCGAAGAAAUGGAACAUCUCCAUUGACUUCUGGAACCAUUAU